GAUGAACGCUGGCGGCGUGCCUAAUACAUGCAAGUCGAGCGAACAGACGAGGAGCUUGCUCCUCUGACGUUAGCGGCGGACGGGUGAGUAACACGUGGAUAACCUACCUAUAAGACUGGGAUAACUUCGGGAAACCGGAGCUAAUACCGGAUAAUAUAUUGAACCGCAUGGUUCAAUAGUGAAAGUCGGUUUUUCUGUCACUUAUAGAUGGUUCCGCGCCGCAUUAGCUAGUUGGUAAGGUAACGGCUUACCAAGGCAACGAUGCGUAGCCGACCUGAGCGGGUGAUCGGCCACACUGGAACUGAGACACGGUCCAGACUCCUACGGGAGGCAGCAGUAGGGAAUAUUGCGCAAUGGGCGAAAGCCUGACGGAGCAACGCCGCGUGAGUGAAGAAGGUCUUCGGAUCGUAAAACUCUGUUAGUAGGGAAGAAGAAAUGAGUAAGAAAAUAUGCACGUAUUGACGGUACCUAAUGAGAAAGCAACGGCUAACUACGUG
Molecule: ribosomal RNA, 497 nt
Filed under: uncultured bacterium
Lineage: Bacteria
Description: partial 16S ribosomal RNA
Rfam family: Bacterial small subunit ribosomal RNA
Source: RNAcentral